AGGUGAUGUCUCCUUACCUGUAUCAAUGGAGGCACUCGGCUAUGUUGUGGGUAAAAAGAAAUGCAACCUUAGACACGUAAGUUGUCAAUAACAUGGUGUGAGGUAGGGUUAGAUGCCCU
Regulatory RNA element from Bacillus solimangrovi, 119 nucleotides. It matches the Rfam family "epsC RNA". The record is from Rfam. NCBI's taxonomy places the organism in Bacteria, Bacillati, Bacillota, Bacilli, Caryophanales, Bacillaceae.